Molecule: long non-coding RNA, 1327 nt
Filed under: Canis lupus familiaris (dog)
Lineage: Eukaryota; Metazoa; Chordata; Mammalia; Carnivora; Canidae
Description: lncRNA (ENSCAFG00030012127.1)
Source: RNAcentral
GUUUUCAAAAGACACCUCCGCUCUCACCGGUUUCCCUUCCGGUCGUCUCACCGCAGCGGGAGUGGCCACGACUUUACCUGAAAAGAUGUCACACUUGCCCCACUCCUGCCUCCGGCCCGCCCUCGCUCUGACCCUCUGACCGGAUCCCACCCAUUCCUCCCCUGCCGGGACCGGGAGGAGGUCAUCGCAGCCUUGUCCCCCGGAGGCUCCGGGAAGCUCCUCGCUGACCUUCACCCUGUCUCGCCUGCAGCCCAACCUCCCAACCUCCUGCCCACCCCCUCCGCCGCUGCUGCCCCCAGCUCUUGGCACCAAACCCUCCGCUUGGGUCCUUCCCGCCCUCCAGGAGCCCCCUCGGCCUCACCUCCUGCCCAGCCUGGCAGCUCUUGAAAGGGUUGUCCUUACUCCGGCUCCACGGCCACCCACCUCUCACCGCCCCCGACCCGAGGUCUGACUCCCGUCCGGUGCGCCAAGGUCACCGGCAGCCUCUCCGCUCCUCGUGCCACUUCGCUGCCCGCACCAACUCGCCUCCUCAGGAUCUCAACGAGGCAUCCCGUGCCUUCUGUGCUCUGUGAACACCCACAGAUGCACCCACCACCCCCAGCCCAGGGCUCUCCCCAGGGCCCACUCUGCGAUCCACUUGACGUCUGAGAAACACGACGAGCGUCCCAGCUCCGGCUCCUCUGCCUGGAAUGUCCUCCCCGUGUACGUGCAAGGCUCACCCCUCGGCCGCCUUUAUGCCUUCAUUCAAACGUCACCUUCUUGGUGAGGCUUGACCUGACCGUGCCAUCUAAACCUUCCCGAAGCUUCCUUGACCAGGACUGCCAGCCACCCUUACCUUUAUUGUAUGUUUUCCACGCUUCUAACGGACUACGUCAUUUACAUAGGAUUACAUAUAUUUUUAAAGAUUUUAUUUAUUUAUUCAUGAGAGACACAGCGAGAGAGGCAGAGACACAGGCAGAGGGAGAAGCAGGCUCCCUGCGGGGAGCCCGAUGCGGGACUCGAACCCCAGCCCGGGAUCAGGCCCUGAGCCAAGCGCAGCCAUGGUUUUGCUACGCCUUCAAAUCUGCACCUGAGUCCUCAUCCUAUAGCCACUGCUUCACCCCCAGGCCCUAUGGUUCUGGUGUCUGGGCUGCUUCGGACUCUCCCUUGCCCCCCGCCGGCCCCCGCCAGGCCGCCACCCCGAGAGGCAGGACCAGGAGCCAGACUGGCUGGGUGCUUCCCCUGGCUCUGCCAGCUACUGGCUGUGUGACUUCGGGCAGGUUCCCUAACCUCCCUGUGCUCUAUUCCCCCGUUCGUGAAACAGGGAUGAUGAUAACAGCACCUCUGU